RNAcentral lists this ribosomal RNA (568 nucleotides) under Sarocladium strictum. RNAcentral describes it as "eukaryotic LSU rRNA". It matches the Rfam family "Eukaryotic large subunit ribosomal RNA", at positions 1 to 578 of the family's 3401-position model. The record is from RNAcentral. Lineage: Eukaryota; Fungi; Ascomycota; Sordariomycetes; Hypocreales; Sarocladiaceae.
UUGACCUCGGAUCAGGUAGGAAUACCCGCUGAACUUAAGCAUAUCAAUAAGCGGAGGAAAAGAAACCAACAGGGAUUGCCUCAGUAACGGCGAGUGAAGCGGCAACAGCUCAAAUUUGAAAUCUGGCCGCAAGGUCCGAGUUGUAAUUUGUAGAGGAUGCUUUUGGCGAGGUGCCUUCCGAGUUCCCUGGAACGGGACGCCAUAGAGGGUGAGAGCCCCGUACGGUUGGACCACCGAGCCUCUGUAAAGCUCCUUCGACGAGUCGAGUAGUUUGGGAAUGCUGCUCUAAAUGGGAGGUGUACGUCUUCUAAAGCUAAAUACCGGCCAGAGACCGAUAGCGCACAAGUAGAGUGAUCGAAAGAUGAAAAGCACUUUGAAAAGAGGGUUAAAAAGUACGUGAAAUUGUUGAAAGGGAAGCAUUCAUGACCAGACUUGGGCUUGGUUGAACAUCCGGCGUUCUCGCCGGUGCACUCUGCCAGUCCAGGCCAGCAUCAGUUUGCCCCGGGGGAUAAAGGCGGUGGGAAUGUGGCUCCCUUCGGGGAGUGUUAUAGCCCGCCGUGUAAUGCCC